UACGAAGGGGGCGAGCGUUUAUUCGGAAUCACUGGGCGUAAAGCGUGCGUAGGCUGUUUUAUAAGUUGGAAGUGAAAGCCCAGGGCUCAACCCUGGAAUUGCUUUCAAAACUAUAAGACUCGAAUCUCGGAGAGGAUAGCGGAAUUUCCAGUGUAGUAGUGAAAUACGUAGAUAUUGGAAGGAACACCAGUGGCGCAAGCGGCUAUCUGGACGAGCAUUGACGCUGAGGCACGAAAGCGUGGGGAUCAAACAGG
This 254-nucleotide ribosomal RNA is filed under the name uncultured bacterium. RNAcentral's name for it is "partial 16S ribosomal RNA". It matches the Rfam family "Bacterial small subunit ribosomal RNA", at positions 524 to 776 of the family's 1533-position model. The record is from RNAcentral.